UACGGAGGACGCAAGCGUUACUCGGAAUCACUGGGCGUAAAGAGCGUGUAGGCGGGUAAAUAAGUCAGAAGUGAAAUCCUAUAGCUUAACUAUAGAACUGCUUUUGAAACUGUAUACCUAGAGUGUGGGAGAGGUAGAUGGAAUUUCUGGUGUAGGGGUAAAAUCCGUAGAGAUCAGAAGGAAUACCGAUUGCGAAGGCGAUCUACUGGAACACAACUGACGCUGAGACGCGAAAGCGUGGGGAGCAAACAGG
This 253-nucleotide ribosomal RNA is filed under the name uncultured bacterium. Its description in RNAcentral is "partial 16S ribosomal RNA". It matches the Rfam family "Bacterial small subunit ribosomal RNA", at positions 524 to 776 of the family's 1533-position model. The record is from RNAcentral.